AAUGCUAAAAGAAUGGAAAAUUAAAAAAAAACUUUUUUAAAAAUAAAAAUUGAAUUUUUUUUAAUUUGUGCAAAAACAAUUAUAUUUAUUAAAGACAAGAAGACCCUAAGAAUUUAAGAUUUUACAAUUAAAAAGUUUUUUUUUAAAAUCUUGAUUGGGGCGAUCAAAAAAUAUUAAUAACUUUUUAAAAUUUAAAUUGAUCUAUUAUUAAUAAACUAAUGAAUUAAAUACUCUAGGGAUAACAGCGUA
Molecule: ribosomal RNA, 249 nt
Filed under: Hyalomma rufipes
Lineage: Eukaryota; Metazoa; Arthropoda; Arachnida; Ixodida; Ixodidae
Description: partial large subunit ribosomal RNA
Source: RNAcentral